CCUACGGGGGGCUGCAGUGGGAAUAUUGCACAAUGGGUGAAACCCUGAUGCAGCAACGCCGCGUGAGUGAAGAAGUAUUUCGGUAUGUAAAGCUCUCUCAGCAGGGAAGAAGAUGACGGUACCUGAUUAAGAAGCCCCGGCUAACUACGUGGCAGCAGCCGCGGUAAUACGUCGGGGGCAAGCGGUAUCCGGAUUUACUGGGGGUAAAGGGAGCGCAGACGGCAGUGCAAGUCUGGAGGGAAGGACCGGGGCCCAACCCCGGAACUGCUCUGGAAAAUGUGCGGCGCGAGUACUGGAGGGGCAGGCGGAAGUCCUAGGGUAGCGGGGAAAUGCGUAGAUAUUAGGAGGAACACCAGUGGCGAAGGCGGCCUGCUGGACAGUAACUGACGUUGAGGCUCGAAAGCGUGGGGAGCAAACAGGAUUAGAUACCCUAGUAGUC
This 439-nucleotide ribosomal RNA is filed under the name uncultured bacterium. Its description in RNAcentral is "partial 16S ribosomal RNA". It matches the Rfam family "Bacterial small subunit ribosomal RNA", at positions 338 to 795 of the family's 1533-position model. The record is from RNAcentral.